Molecule: ribosomal RNA, 540 nt
Filed under: uncultured bacterium
Lineage: Bacteria
Description: bacterial SSU rRNA
Rfam family: Bacterial small subunit ribosomal RNA
Source: RNAcentral
AAGUCGAACGAGAAAAGGGUUCUCGGAUCCUUAGUAAAGUGGCAAACGGGUGAGUAACACGUGAGUAAUUUGCCCUUGAUUUUGGAAUAACAACUUGAAAAGGUUGCUAAUACCAAAUAAUAUCACAGUAUGGCAUCAUAUUGAGAUCAAAGAUGACCUCUCCAUGGAAGUUGUCGAUCAAGGAUAAGCUCGCGUACCAUUAGCUAGUUGGUGGGAUAAAAGCCUACCAAGGUUAUGAUGGUUAGCCGGCCUGAGAGGGUGACCGGCCACACUGGGACUGAGACACGGCCCAGACUCCUACGGGAGGCAGCAGUGGGGAAUAUUGCGCAAUGGGGGAAACCCUGACGCAGCAACGCCGCGUGGAUGAUGAAGGCCUUCGGGUUGUAAAAUCCUGUCAGAUGGGAAGAAAUGCAUAAAAAUCAAUAAUCUUUAUGUUUGACGGUACCAUCAGAGGAAGCCCCGGCUAACUCCGUGCCAGCAGCCGCGGUAAUACGGAGGGGGCAAGCGUUGUUCGGAAUCACUGGGCGUAAAGGGCGCGUA